Molecule: unclassified non-coding RNA, 327 nt
Filed under: soil metagenome
Description: partial contains 5.8S ribosomal RNA, internal transcribed spacer 2, and large subunit ribosomal RNA
Rfam family: 5.8S ribosomal RNA (bases 1-120)
Source: RNAcentral
GAUGAAGAACGCAGCGAAAUGCGAUAAGUAAUGUGAAUUGCAGAAUUCAGUGAAUCAUCGAAUCUUUGAACGCACAUUGCGCCCCCUGGUAUUCCGGGGGGCAUGCCUGUCCGAGCGUCAUUACAACCCUCAAGCUCAGCUUGGUGUUGGGCCCCGCCGCCCCGGCGGGCCCUAAAGUCAGUGGCGGUGCCGUCCGGCUCCGAGCGUAGUAAUUCUUCUCGCUCUGGAGGUCCGGUCGUGUGCUCGCCAGCAACCCCCAAUUUUUUUCAGGUUGACCUCGGAUCAGGUAGGGAUACCCGCUGAACUUAAGCAUAUCAAUAAGCGGAA